GCGCCCUUAGCUCAGUUGGAUAGAGCACCAGCCUUCUAAGCUGGGUGUCGUGCGUUCGAGCCGCACAGGGCGUGCCA
RNAcentral lists this transfer RNA (77 nucleotides) under Ruminococcaceae bacterium OttesenSCG-928-I18. Its description in RNAcentral is "tRNA-Arg". It matches the Rfam family "tRNA". Rfam says of the family: Transfer RNA (tRNA) molecules are approximately 80 nucleotides in length. Their secondary structure includes four short double-helical elements and three loops (D, anti-codon, and T loops). Further hydrogen bonds mediate the characteristic L-shaped molecular structure. tRNAs have two regions of fundamental functional importance: the anti-codon, which is responsible for specific mRNA codon recognition, and the 3' end, to which the tRNAs corresponding amino acid is attached (by aminoacyl-tRNA synthetases). tRNAs cope with the degeneracy of the genetic code in two manners: having more than one tRNA (with a specific anti-codon) for a particular amino acid; and 'wobble' base-pairing, i.e. permitting non-standard base-pairing at the 3rd anti-codon position. Lineage: Bacteria; Bacillati; Bacillota; Clostridia; Eubacteriales; Oscillospiraceae. The record is from RNAcentral.